Molecule: long non-coding RNA, 1173 nt
Filed under: Hordeum vulgare
Lineage: Eukaryota; Viridiplantae; Streptophyta; Magnoliopsida; Poales; Poaceae
Description: long non-coding RNA (HVUL_LNC017274)
Source: RNAcentral
UCUCUCAUAAAACAACAUACAACUAUGUAAAACAUUUAAAUGCAACAACAAAUGCGAUCAAUAUUGCAACUAAGGUAACAAUUGACCCAACAACAUAAUGAUACCAAGCCUCUUUGUCAACGGCAUAUUUUCUAAUAUUCCUAAUCUUCAAGCGCAUUUCAUCCAUCUUCAAACGCAUUGCAUCCAUCUUCAACCGCAUCGCAUCGAUCUUCAUCUUGCGAUCAUCAAUGACAUCGAGAACAUGCAACUCCAGUUCCAUAUUCUUCUCCUCAAUUAUUUUCAAUUUUUCUUCAAGUAAUUAUUAACUUGAGCUCAUGGAGAGAAAGACCGAAAGACCUAUUUUCUACUAGCGAUGACAUCUCAUGGAGAACAGCAAGGUACGCCUUGCGGCAACGUCAAAUUACGUGCUGAGCACCUGCUUGUCCCGUGGUCGGCACAGCUAGUUUGUGAUCAGGCAGUUCAACAUAAUGAUGGACCUCCAUGCGAGAAAUCAGACACACUUUUAUAGGUGUGUAUUUCUAUACUUCCGCAACGGAUACAGAUACACGUUGACAAAUUCUGCAGCAGUGAGGGCCUGCAUAGUCUCUGACACGCCAAUUCGUACGAGCUGGCUGCCAAGUGGCAAGGUCUCUGCAAAGAGCAUGGAUACUGAAUGUGCAGAGGACACGGUGCGCACCCAUGGUGAAUGAGUUUAACAAAUAUAAGAUCGUGGUCAUUCUCCGAACUUUUUCUUCCCUAUGCCCCUCACUCUCAAGCUAACCUCGAUUUCUUUUUUGUUAUAUUGUUUCCAUUACUUUUUGUGGGAGAGACAUGCAUCAAAUGAGUCAUGUAGCAUGGGGGGAACACAAAAGAUCGGGGGUGCUAUAUAAAUCCUGUCGUUGCUGAUGAAAACAUUAAUAUCAAUUCUAUUUCACAUUGAAAUAUGGCAAGGUAAGACAUUCGUAGCUACUAACCAUCUCCUAUCCGGUGAAUGUGAUUAAAAGACAUGUGUUUGGGCUCGUUGCACACAUACAAAAUGGGACAGAGAGUUUGUGCGUCACAGAGAGAAAGGUGAUUGUCAUUGAGUGGUCCGAAUUCGCUGUACCUUCUAUCCACAGAUGAACAAACAAUAUUUUUGUUAGACUAUUAAUUAAAAGGUCUGUAGGUGCCUGCAAUUUUCUUCUGCUUAUAAUG